AUUGAACGCUGGCGGCAGGCCUAACACAUGCAAGUCGAGCGGAGCGGCGGACGGGUGAGUAAUGCCUAGGAAUCUGCCUGGUAGUGGUGGAUAACGUCCGGAAACGGGCGCUAAUACCGCAUACUAUCAGAUGAGCCUAGGUCGUAUUAGCUAGUUGGUGGGGUAAAGGCCUACAAAGGCGACGAUCCGUAACUGGUCUGAGAGGAUGAUCAGUCAAACGGGAACUGGGACACGGUCCAGACUCCUACGGGAGGCAGAAGUGGGGAAUAUUGGACAAUGGGGGAAAGCCUGAGCCAGCCAGGCCGCGUGGGUGAAGAAGGUCUUCGGAUUGUAAAGCACGUUAAGCGGGGAGGCGUUACCAACAGAAUAAGCACCGGCUAACUUCGUGCCAGCAGCCGCGGUAAUUC
Molecule: ribosomal RNA, 407 nt
Filed under: uncultured bacterium
Lineage: Bacteria
Description: partial 16S ribosomal RNA
Rfam family: Bacterial small subunit ribosomal RNA
Source: RNAcentral